This is a long non-coding RNA of Salvia miltiorrhiza (redroot sage), 667 nucleotides long. RefSeq lists it as uncharacterized. The transcript has 2 exons. The record is from RefSeq and is a predicted model, not a curated record. Lineage: Eukaryota; Viridiplantae; Streptophyta; Magnoliopsida; Lamiales; Lamiaceae.
UUCAGCUACCAAUGCAGGAGAACUCGUACGAUUGUGGCGUUUUCCUGCUUCACUAUGUAGAACAAUUUCUUGAGCUGACUUCAAACAGGACAACUGACUUUAUGGAAUAGCUUGAUCAGAAUUGGUUUGUUUCUUCUGAUGUUUCUCUCAAGAAACGUGAUGAUAUUAGAACACUUAUUUAUCAACUCCAUGAUGAUGCCGUGAAGGAAACCCAACCUGCAGAUGAAAAUGUCCAGACUAAGGUAUAUGAUAACUGAUUUAGGUGAUAUUCACAAAGCCAUUUCACUCACCUGAUUUAGAAUAGAUACUUUACUGAUCCACUCCAAUUUUGCAGGCGAGUUUCUCCAGCUUAAAUGUCUCUCCUGAAUCACAGGGCAUCCCACGUCGAAAGGUGCCAAGACUUAUCCACGAUUAGUCCUAUGCAACUUAAUUUUUCUCAGGCGAGUUUCUCCAACUCAAAUGUCGAUUUGACGAUUCGGUUUAGAACAGAGAUUCAUGCUAUUUGUGUCUCAUAUUGGGUAAUGAUGACUAAUUUGGUUUGACAUUUCAUUGAAAUAUUUUUACAAAUACGGCCACAUUCAUAUCAGAUCACUUUGCAUAUGACCUCUUUUUAUCUAAUGCACGCACCUUCUAAUUAUUAAAGUUUUUUGGUCAAGAUAGAUUUAAA